UACGUAGGUGGCAAGCGUUUGUCCGGAUUUAUUGGGUUUAAAGGGUGCGUAGGCGGUCUAUUAAGUCAGUGGUGAAAUAUGGCAGCUUAACUGUCAGGGUGCCAUUGAUACUGAUGGACUUGAGUGAGUCGAGGUUGGCGGGAAUUGACGGUGUAGCGGUGAAAUGCUUAGAUAUCGUCAAGAACACCGAUAGUGAAGACAGCUAACUAGACUUAUACUGACGCUGAGGCACGAAAGUGUGGGGAUCAAACAGG
This 254-nucleotide ribosomal RNA is filed under the name uncultured bacterium. Its description in RNAcentral is "partial 16S ribosomal RNA". It matches the Rfam family "Bacterial small subunit ribosomal RNA", at positions 524 to 776 of the family's 1533-position model. The record is from RNAcentral.